Molecule: RNA transcript, 1795 nt
Organism: Melospiza melodia melodia
Lineage: Eukaryota; Metazoa; Chordata; Aves; Passeriformes; Passerellidae
Exons: 5
Source: RefSeq, a predicted model, not a curated record
CGGGACCUCUGGGGUCCCCCGGCUGGGUUGGGUAACGGCGUGGAGAGGCUGUGGGGCACAGCCAGGGCUUUAACAGGGCUGGGAAAGCGGAGAACGACUGGGGAGCUGCAGCGAUAGCGGAAUGGCGCUGAGGCGGUGUUCGUGCGUCUGGGAACACGGGCCGUGGAGCUGCGGGCACCGGAGGCAUGCGAAGGGAAGUUACACUUUGGCAGUGCUGUCUCCAAAGGCUCCAGAAAGGCUCCGGUUAAAAUCAGCUGUGUGGUGUCCUUCUCCUCCCAGGCUGAGGUGGGAUGCUCCUCAUGGCCCUGUGACCAGCCCUGUCACAUCUUGGUGCCUACUGAUGACACCAGCUGACUCAAAGCUGGACCAGAAUCGCUGCAAGGUUCAGAUGUUUUAGGAAGGAGAUCCAGGGAGGAGAAGCAACUGAGGAGCCGCCUGUGGAAGCUGGAUGGGGCUGCCUGGAGCCCAGCCCACCUCAGCCACUCUGCCUGGAUGGAGCUGUUGACAACACAGAACCAGAACCAGGCCCUGAGGCCCAGAGCUGGCACGAGCACCCUGGGGCGUCACCUGGAGCUGCUGGCCAAGGAUGUGGGAGGUCCUGUAGUGCCAGGCUCUGCACUGGAUGUGCCUGCUGCUCCCUUGAGUACCUGCAGGCAGCUGGACAGGCACUGUGCUCACAGUCCUGUUGGCAGGUAAUCCCCUGGGUCACUGUCUUCUCCUGCCCUCACCUGGCUAUUUACUGCUCUCAGCCUUUCCCAGACAGUUCUGGGCACAGCCCUUCACUCUUUUGGGCUGGCAGGAUGUGGCAUAGGGUACCUCCAGCAUGUUACCCCUGUGCAGGGCUCCAGCUGCCACCUCAGGGAUGCCCAGGGGGAAAGGAACAGCCCAAGCCUGUGGUUCCCAAGAGAGACAAGUCAGGAGAAAUGACAGAGGACAGGCCAGCAGUGAUGGGGAGAUGGUGUCUGCCCCAUCUGCUCAGGUGGCUGCUUGGCAGGGGUGUCCUCUGUGGGCAGUAAAUGGGCAUAGUGGUGGCAGUUCUGUAGCUGGGACACAUCCCUCCUGCUGGUGCCCUGGCACUGGAGGGGCAUCACAGUGUAUUCCCAGGCUGCCAUGAGAACCAUCAGGGAGGGUGUCAGUCCAAACCCCACAUUAUCCCAACACUAGGGGGCCUGUUACAACCAUAUCACCUUCCCUUUCCACAGGCCACUUCCUGCUGAAUCUGCUCCCCACACGCCUCCCAGUGUGGAGAAGAACCUACUGUGGCCUGGCCUUGCUUGUGCCCUGGCCCAUUUGCCAGCUGCCCUUUGGCGUGGCAGGGAUGGAGCAGCAUGCCAGCAACUGCAGGGAGACACCAGGGGCCCUGUCCUCAGCCCAGUGCCUGCAGUAGGACAGAGCUGGGCACAAACCCUGUGUCACCACCCCUGAGGGCAGAACCUGCAGUACCCCAAGGGGCAGAGACACUGCAGCCCCUUGAACAUCUGUGGCAAGGCUGGUGUGAGGAUGGACAAGGUGCUUCCAGCCCCAUGGCCAGGUUUGGUGGGGUUUGAAGCACUGUAAUUACAGGGGUUGCUAUGCAGAAGAGUAAGUUCAAGGAGAAAAAUAAGAAAGAGAAAUCUGCACAAUGACUGCUUGGUGGUACUGCAGGGUCUCCGGGUGAGCAUCCUGCCUUGGGACACCCUGUGUAGUUCAGUGAUAGGGCAAGGAGAAGCUCAUGCUUUUCCUCCCCUCAAGCCCUGAUAAGGGUUCCAGUGCAUGUGGACUGUAGGAGGAGGAAGCCAGGACCCCAGAGCAGGUG